Molecule: small nucleolar RNA, 71 nt
Organism: Grus americana (Whooping crane)
Lineage: Eukaryota; Metazoa; Chordata; Aves; Gruiformes; Gruidae
Product: small nucleolar RNA SNORD56
Exons: 1
Source: RefSeq, a predicted model, not a curated record
CUGCGAUGAUGGGAACAUUUUUCGUCAACAGCAUCUCACUGUGUGAAUGGUGAAGACUCUGGUCUGAGCAG